UACGGGGGGAGCAAGCGUUGUUCGGAUUUACUGGGCGUAAAGGGCGCGUAGGCGGUCAGCACAAGUCAGUUGUGAAAUCUCCGGGCUUAACUCGGAAAGGUCAACUGAUACUGUGCGACUAGAGUGCAGAAGGGGCAACUGGAAUUCUCGGUGUAGCGGUGAAAUGCGUAGAUAUCGAGAGGAACACCUGCGACGAAGGCGGGUUGCUGGGCUGACACUGACGCUGAUGCGCGAAAGCCAGGGGAGCGAACGGG
This 254-nucleotide ribosomal RNA is filed under the name uncultured bacterium. RNAcentral's name for it is "partial 16S ribosomal RNA". It matches the Rfam family "Bacterial small subunit ribosomal RNA", at positions 524 to 776 of the family's 1533-position model. The record is from RNAcentral.